AGUGAACGCUGGCGGUAGGCCUAACACAUGCAAGUCGAACGGCAGCACAGUAAGAGCUUGCUCUUACGGGUGGCGAGUGGCGGACGUGUGAGGAAUACAUCGGAAUCUACUUUUUCGUGGGGGAUAACGUAGGGAAACUUACUCUAAUACCGCAUACGACCUACGGGUGAAAGCAGGGGAUCUUCGCACCUUGCGCGAUUGAAUGAGCCGAUGUCGGAUUAGCUAGUUGGCGGGGUAAAGGCCCACCAAGGGGACGAUCCGUAGCUGGUCUGAGAGGAUGAUCGGCCACACUGGAACUGAGACACGGUCAAGACUCCUACGAGAGGCAGCAGUGGGGAAUAUUGGACAAUGGGCGCAAGCCUGAUCCAGCCAUACCGCGUGGGUGAAGAAGGCCUUCGGGUUGUAAAGCCCUUUUGUUGGGAAAGAAAAGCAGCAGGUUAAUACCCCGCUGUUCUGACGGUACCCAAAGAAUAAGCACCGGCUAACUUCGUG
This 492-nucleotide ribosomal RNA is filed under the name uncultured bacterium. Its description in RNAcentral is "partial 16S ribosomal RNA". It matches the Rfam family "Bacterial small subunit ribosomal RNA", at positions 29 to 507 of the family's 1533-position model. The record is from RNAcentral.